GUGGGGAAUAUUGCACAAUGGGCGCAAGCCUGAUGCAGCGACGCCGCGUGAGGGAUGAAGGCCUUCGGGUUGUAAACCUCUUUCAGCAGGGAAGAAGCGAAAGUGACGGUACCUGCAGAAGAAGCGCCGGCUAACUACGUGCCAGCAGCCGCGGUAAUACGUAGGGCGCAAGCGUUGUCCGGAAUUAUUGGGCGUAAAGAGCUCGUAGGCGGUUUGUCGCGUCUGCUGUGAAAACCUGAGGCUCAACCUCGGGCUUGCAGUGGGUACGGGCAGACUAGAGUGCGGUAGGGGUGACUGGAAUUCCUGGUGUAGCGGUGGAAUGCGCAGAUAUCAGGAGGAACACCGAUGGCGAAGGCAGGUCACUGGGCCGCAACUGACGCUGAGGAGCGAAAGCAUGGGGAGCGAACAGGAUUAGAUACCCUGGUAGUCCAUGCCGUAAACGUUGGGCACUAGGUGUGGGGCUCAUUCCACGAGUUCCGUGCCGCAGCAAACGCAUUAAGUGCCCCGCCUGGGGAGUACGGCCGCAAGGC
Molecule: ribosomal RNA, 530 nt
Filed under: uncultured Cellulomonas sp.
Lineage: Bacteria; Bacillati; Actinomycetota; Actinomycetes; Micrococcales; Cellulomonadaceae
Description: bacterial SSU rRNA
Rfam family: Bacterial small subunit ribosomal RNA
Source: RNAcentral